CGAUGCCUUCUCUCCUUGUCUCCAACCUGUGAAACAACUUCCUCUUCUUCCACACCAAGUCCACCAUGGAUGAUCGCGGAGAUCCAAUCCUCCCUUCACAUUCGCCUUUCUCUCUCUUUCUUUCUCAAAUCUUGAGGCCCAUCAAAAAAAAGAUUCCACCUUCCCAGCAAUUCUUCGCUCAAAGAAUCUACAGUAGCAACCUUUAAUCUGCUACCUCCUCAAUUUCAUCCUGGUGUGUCUUGGUUGGUAGCCUAGAGAGUGAAAGACUAGCUUUGGUUAAUUUCCGUAGUCACUGAAUUGAGGUGUUGGGAUGAGGCUGCGGAAGGAGGCGACGUGUAAUUUGAACCAAUGGGCUAUGGACUUCGAUUGCAAUAUGAAGAACAUCAAGGAGUUGAUAGCUAAGGCUAAGGAGGCUAGGUUGUGAUUCAGCUUGGUCCUGAGCUUGAAAUUACUGGUUAUGGCUGCGAAGACCAUUUCCUCGAGCUCGAUACUGUUAAUCAUGCGUAAGUUCUUAGCAUUUCAAACUAGUUUUUCAAAGUUUAGUUUUGAAAAAGAAAAAAAUGGUAUAUAGAGUGUUAAAGCUUUUUGUUGACAAUACAUCAUCUUUUGGUCUCAUUUGUGGAUUAAUUAUGUGUAAAAAAAUUAACUUGCAAGGAAAUUUAUAAGUUAUUGUUAAUGGUAAUCUUGCAUGAUGAUUGAGAAGUGUGUUUGAACAAAAAGAUUAUCAUGAUAUACUUAAAGUUGUGGCUUGAGAUGUAUUAUUUUGAAAAUUAGUGUGGAUAUGUUAUGAACCCCAUAUUGCGCCA
This is a long non-coding RNA of Prunus avium (sweet cherry), 806 nucleotides long. RefSeq lists it as uncharacterized. The record is from RefSeq and is a predicted model, not a curated record. Lineage: Eukaryota; Viridiplantae; Streptophyta; Magnoliopsida; Rosales; Rosaceae.